This 1095-nucleotide ribosomal RNA is filed under the name Halomonas denitrificans. RNAcentral describes it as "bacterial SSU rRNA". It matches the Rfam family "Bacterial small subunit ribosomal RNA", at positions 8 to 1094 of the family's 1533-position model. Lineage: Bacteria; Pseudomonadati; Pseudomonadota; Gammaproteobacteria; Oceanospirillales; Halomonadaceae. The record is from RNAcentral.
AGAGUUUGAUCAUGGCUCAGAUUGAACGCUGGCGGCAGGCCCAACACAUGCAAGUCGAGCGGAAACGAUCCUAGCUUGCUAGGAGGCGUCGAGCGGCGGACGGGUGAGUAAUGCAUAGGAAUCUGCCCGGUAGUGGGGGAUAACCUGGGGAAACCCAGGCUAAUACCGCAUACGCCCUACGGGGGAAAGCAGGGGAUCUUCGGACCUUGCGCUAUCGGAUGAGCCUAUGUCGGAUUAGCUAGUUGGUGAGGUAACGGCUCACCAAGGCUGCGAUCCGUAGCUGGUCUGAGAGGAUGAUCAGCCACAUCGGGACUGAGACACGGCCCGAACUCCUACGGGAGGCAGCAGUGGGGAAUAUUGGACAAUGGGCGAAAGCCUGAUCCAGCCAUGCCGCGUGUGUGAAGAAGGCCUUCGGGUUGUAAAGCACUUUCAGUGAGGAAGAAAGCCUUGAGGUUAAUACCCUCGAGGGAGGACAUCACUCACAGAAGAAGCACCGGCUAACUCCGUGCCAGCAGCCGCGGUAAUACGGAGGGUGCGAGCGUUAAUCGGAAUUACUGGGCGUAAAGCGCGCGUAGGCGGCUUGAUAAGCCGGUUGUGAAAGCCCCGGGCUCAACCUGGGAACGGCAUCCGGAACUGUCAGGCUAGAGUGCAGGAGAGGAAGGUAGAAUUCCCGGUGUAGCGGUGAAAUGCGUAGAGAUCGGGAGGAAUACCAGUGGCGAAGGCGGCCUUCUGGACUGACACUGACGCUGAGGUGCGAAAGCGUGGGUAGCAAACAGGAUUAGAUACCCUGGUAGUCCACGCCGUAAACGAUGUCGACUAGCCGUUGGGCUCCUUGAGAGCUUUGUGGCGCAGUUAACGCGAUAAGUCGACCGCCUGGGGAGUACGGCCGCAAGGUUAAAACUCAAAUGAAUUGACGGGGGCCCGCACAAGCGGUGGAGCAUGUGGUUUAAUUCGAUGCAACGCGAAGAACCUUACCUACCCUUGACAUCGAGAGAACUUUCCAGAGAUGGAUUGGUGCCUUCGGGAACUCUCAAACAGGUGCUGCAUGGCUGUCGUCAGCUCGGGUUGGGAAAUGUUGGGUUAAGUCCCGUAACG